This is a long non-coding RNA of Hemibagrus wyckioides, 4696 nucleotides long. RefSeq lists it as uncharacterized. Lineage: Eukaryota; Metazoa; Chordata; Actinopteri; Siluriformes; Bagridae. The record is from RefSeq and is a predicted model, not a curated record. The transcript has 3 exons.
GUUGCCAAAACCAGAACCGCCCCAAACAGUGUGCAGCUGCAUGUGUUUCCUCUAAACACUCAUUUGGCUACAUGGGCAAACGCGAGCCUGCAUUAAGACUCCGUUUUGGCCCUUUUCCUAGCAACAAGCGGUCUUUUCAUCUAACUCUAGUCAUUAUUUGUUUGUUUAUUUUUUGUUUUUCCUUUGAGUAGCAGUAGUAAUAGUGAUAGGGCGUGUUGUAUAGAGAGUUCUCGAGGCGUUAACCGCUUUUUUUCUGGGCUAAACUCCAUUCACACAAGCAGGAAGAUUUGAAUCUGCGGCGAGUCUGACGCUCUGGAGAAGUGGGCGUGGCGUCGCGCCGGACAGACUCAACGCAGGCUACACUCCAUGAAUGAGUCAAGUCCACGACGAGCCGAAGGGGGAAAAGAAACAAAUUCAAACUUAAAGAAAGAGACAAACGCUGUUAGAGCCAUUUAUUUAUUUAUUUAUUUAUUUAUUUAUUUAUUUAUUUAUUUAUUUAUUUAUGGCGCAGAAACAGUUUUGUGCAAAAGCUCAUACUCUAUAUUAAGUUAGUUAUUCUAACCGAACAGUCCGAAGGCUCAGUACUCACUCUACUAGAAUAAAGGGUCACUAAAGGAAGAGCCAAUCAGCCACAUUUCUACAACCUAACAAAACUGAGGACCAGGUCAUCUCAGGUAUCCAUGUUUUUGGAUCCCUAUGCUGCAUCUAUCUAUUUUUUUUUUCAUACAUACAUCUAUGAAAUUCAGCUCUGCUCUGAGCACUGAGGUUGUCUAGUCGAAGCCACCUGAACUUUAUACCUGCUUAAAAUAACCCUGCCUAGAUCAGCCAAUUAGCAGAGUGCAGUAGGCAGUGACUCACUCCUCUGGUAUACCCACACAUACGCACUCACAUUGUCCUACUUCUGAUGUAAAGCCUGCAAAGCCUGGGCUGGUCCCGGGUUCAUUUUCAAAGGAAAAAAGAAACUAUACGUCUUAGUGAUUAUACCAGAGAUGGACAUACGCAUUCAUAAAUAAGUAAAAGUGGUGUAUUUAUUUAUUUUUAAUGUAUCAGCUCAUUAAGCACAUUUUAUACACAAAUGACAAAUUGUGUCCUCAAAUCAAAUAAAUCACACGUGAUCAGUUUUAUUGCUGUAAUAAAAACUUGUCAUAAGGCCAGGAAAAGCUAGAUAUUAUGUGAGCGAUGUUUCAGGAGGAACCCUGCGGCCCUGCUGCUGCACUUGUUGACACUUCCUAGUGGGGAUUUUUCAGGAGGAGUCCUGAGGUGACAGAAUGAAAGGGCCUAUGGGAUGACUAACACCUCUGGAAAGUACACAACGAUUCCAUAAGAAAGCCACUGCCCUGGGGUGAAGCAGGGGGCAAACAGCCCACAGGUGAGCAGGAUCAUCGCCCUCGAGGAGUCUGAGGCAAACCAGAGUGACAAGGUUUUUUUUUUUCUUUCUUUAAGGUAUAAUUCACCCAGAAAUGCUGACAACAAAUAAUAAUGCUAGAUUGCAGCAAAUGAGUGUGAGUCAACUGAAUGUAGAUCUUAACUUUCGUUUGUUUUUCUUUGCUUAUUAUUGACAGUGUGCUUCUGGUGAAGGACUUUAUUUAUUGAUUGAUUGAUUUUGAAGAUGCUGGUUUUUAUUAGCACUCUGCAAACAAGAGCAUCAGCACUAAACACUGAGCUAACAAAAAAUGGGGUUUUUUUUUUGCAAGAUUUCAGAGGGUUCCUCAAAGAAAUCAGUUCGACAGCCAUUCCUGUCAGGCCUUGUUUGAAUUGCAGUGUUAUCAAAUGCAAAGAAACACAAGAGAUGAUAAUGUAUCUUGAUUUGGCCAAACCCUGGCAGAAAUUAAGCCUGUAUAUUUAUUCUUUGUAAGAGGUUGAGUGACACACUUUUUCCAUGACUCCAGGGAAGGCCACUUCUUGUGCCUGUCCUCUUUUGAGUCUCUGAUGAGACCAGCACAGUUACGCUCAAACAACUUCUGCAACCCCCUUUCUUCCUGUAAACAGCUGUGUGUGUGUGCGUGUGUGUGUGUGUGUGUGUGUGUGUGUGAGAGAGAGAGAGAGAGAGAAAGAGAGAGAGAGAGAGAGAGCGCGAGCACUGCUGUUUUUAUUUGCUCUUGGUCACCAUUACCAGCUUUGGAAGUGUCAAGGUAUAGGUCUUGAGUUUGUUUUUUUCCCCUCAAUGCACAAAGUUAAACGUUUAACUUGUGGUUCUGUCUGUCUGUGUAAAUAAAUUGCCCAUGAUCUUGAAUUGCCUAGGUUUAUAUGCAAAGUUAAUAUUGUUCUAUCCUGCCUCCUGUCUGUUUGUUUGUUUGUUUGUUUGUUUGUUUGUUUGUUUGUGUUUCCUUAACUAAUGGACCUGUGACAAACCCACGCAUGAUUUAGCCAAUUAAACAAGGAAAUGACUCAUUAUGUGCUCCACAAUGGACUGAUGACCCAACAAGCAUGACUUCUCCUGCCUGUUACCAGGAUAUGCUCUGGAUCCAGCGAGACCCUGAUUAGGAAAAAACAACAGUUACAGAAGAUGAAUGAAUGAAUGAAUGAAUGAAUGAAUGAUUCAGAUACUUACAGGUAAAAAAAAUAUGCUAGUACACUAGUGUGUUUGUCAUUUUUGAAAGAAAUGAAUUGCAAUUUGAAUGCUAUUAUGAGCAAUAUAACUUUCACAUGACUAACAUUAAGCUUGAGAAUAAAAAGCGGUAUCUGAACAAAACAAAAAAAUGUUCCAUUGUCUCUAGUUACAGCUGGCUGUAAACCAAACUGUACAGGAAGACUUACAUUAAAUAAUCGACCACAUUUCAAACCACAUCUUUGGCUCUUGUCUGUUUCCAGAGAAACCAGUGAAGAGAAGAGACUAGAUAACGCUAUGGUUUGUUGAGGGAUAUUCAGUUCAACAGUAGAAAGUUCUAGAAAGCAUACAAUGAUGAUCACAGCUUCGAUAAUGCUGAAGUUCGAACACUAAACAUGCAGUGCUGUGACCUUCGUGCUUCUUCUGUACACUACUGGAAAUGAAGUCAGGAGUAUUUCAGUGGUAUUAGGCCAAAUACAAUAGCUGAACAAUUUCUCACUUCCUAUUUCCCCGGGUUUCUCUUUCACUUUGGACCUUCCUUUCACCUCUCUCCAACCGCCUUUAUUUACAUAAACUAGCUCAUACUCACUGAGGAACUUCAGUGUACCUUGUUUUUUGUUUUGUUUUUUUGCAGUCAUAUUUUUGCUUCGUUUCCCUGAAAGCACGCAUUCAAUUUUUUUGACAUUCGUAGUUCUGUAUCAUUUGACAACUAAUUUUUUUUAAUUUAGUUUAAUUUUGCCAGUGUUGGUGAUUUAGACUUAGAGUCAAAUAACUGAAAGUAAUUUUAACUCGUCUGAUUUUUCAGCCAGUCUGGGCUUUGAUUAAAUGGCAAACAAAAAAAAUAAUACAGUGGUUACUAUCUAAAGUAAAUCCUGUCUCCUAAAUUGUGUUACUUAAACUAAACUAAACCGACUUCUCACCAAAACCAAGCUACUUAAUUCUUACCACAAAGAAGACAAAAAAAGCACUGACCAACACAACUGCUGUCCCAAAUUACUGGUACAUCCAUACAUGGAACUGAUAUUGCUAACUAAAUUAACCAUCUAGAGGUUAAUAUUCUUGAAGAUGUCAACUAGAAGAUGUCACUAUUCCUCAAACAGAUGUGUUCAAGGGUGUCAUUUAAUCCUUUGCUUUUUCUUUUUGCUUGAUCAUCAUCAUACUCAGGAAGUCCUUCAAAUUGUCUAGAAAUCUAUUUUAGACAUCUGUACACUUGGUUACUUCACUGUUGCUUGUGCUAAAUUGGUAGAUGUGUGUUUGUGUAGACGCAUGUUCCUACACCAGGGUCCCACUUCCCAAAAACAUGCUGGUAAGUAGACUGGCUAAGAGAAAAUGACUGUGUGCGUGUGUGUGUGUGUGGAGGUGGUGCAAUGCAAAUGACCGGCAUCCCAACCAGGGUGUACAGUAUCUCCCACUCAGUGUUCUCAGGAUAAGCUCUGGAUCUAGCAGGAUGAAACUAUGAACCAGGUCUUCACUUCAAACAGGAAGGAAGACAAAAGAUCUAAAGAUGAAGUGUAGCUUUCCCACCUCUUCUGUAUGACUAAUUCACAUAAAGCAUGGGAGAUCAGCUGAGGCAUCAGAGGAAGCCAGAUCGACAUCAACAAAGUGAGUGACACAUGCAGUGCAGAGAAGUUCUUCACACAAAACCAAGAUACUUCUUAUUUACAGUUUAAGUAAUCAGUGGGUGUUCCAAUUUCUGGUUGCCAUAGUAAUAACAUUUCUCAGUGGGCGGAGGAACUAACAUUCUACUUGACAACAAGUAUAAAACUCAGCAGUGUAUAACUGCAUCAUAUCAUAUGAGAUGAAGGAGAAGCAGUGUGAACGCUUUGUCACAGAUCACAUGCUCUCUACAGUCUUCACUCCCACUGGUAGUCACUGCAUCAAGUUGCUUCAUAUUUCCAUAAAGUUCUACUUUUCUUAACUUUGUUGCGUCACUGGACACGCCCACAUAUUGUCCCCAAAGCUCGCUGUCACUCAAGUCACUGGGAGGCAUUCAACUUGUUAGUAUUUAGUGACUUUACCUUUUUAUUACCUGACUUCACUACAUAAAAAUGACAUUUUAGGGAAUAAAAAUAUCUUAAAACUAGUCAAAUCUAUUACAAUAUUAAAAUCUAACCGAACCAAAGAAUAAUUUAAUUCAAUUUAUUUGUA